Macrobrachium nipponense is the source of this 1315-nucleotide long non-coding RNA. RefSeq lists it as uncharacterized. The record is from RefSeq and is a predicted model, not a curated record. NCBI's taxonomy places the organism in Eukaryota, Metazoa, Arthropoda, Malacostraca, Decapoda, Palaemonidae. The transcript is spliced from 3 exons.
UCGACUGUGUAACAUCGUUCUGGGCGGUAGUCGUUUAACAGGAGUUUACUAAGUGAUCCUUUUUUUCCUCAAGAGUGGCGUAUUCUAUUCCUCCUUGAGUUAUCGUAGCGUAAUUGGUUCUGUUGCGAAGUUAAAAAAAAAAAUAAAUAAAUAAAAAAUAAAUAAAUAAAUAAACCGUUUUAUCACGCGACUAGAGUACCUUAUAGUUGGCGCUUGAGAUUACCAUCGAUUGUUGUAACUUCGUUGGUCAAGUUAUAAUAGACCCCGGGCUUCUGCAAGUAUGUUUUUGGUACGAGUUUGACUUUGCGUUCCUGUUUUAACAAUAACGUUUCACGCAAUGUAAAGCUGCUCUUUAGCAACAGAACGUUGCGUAGUCACUGAAGCAGAAAAGAAACCUCUGCUUUCAGUGAACCACGAGACAAGUGUGUGCAGUGAAGGAUGGACGUGGCAGUUCUGGCUGAAGCCGGCUUUUCAAUAGAAGACUGAAGAUGGACCUUGACUUAAGCGUAGUUAUGCCUGCAUAGUCUGCCUGUGCGGGCAAAACUGAACCUACUAAAAAGCCCGUCCACACUUGUGGGGCACUUCCAUCUGUUUAUAUUUUUCUCUCGUUUCUGAAGUAUUGUUACCAGACAAUCUCAUCGUUCUGGCUCCAUACUCGGUCAGUCAGUAGUGGAACGGGUUAUAGGAACAGUGUUUGCCUGUCGCGCAGUGCUCGCUAGUGAGGACAGGGCCUAAUGUUCAGAUAUACCUGCACAGUUAUACUAGUGCAGGCAAAGUUGAAUUUGGUGGCGACCUUUACUCAUAAAGUGUCUGUACGACUAAGAAUGUUCCUGGAGCGGUCUUUGUGGACUUUCUACAGCUGUGAGGUGGGGGUCUACCGGCCCAUGUUUUUGAAAGGUCCAAGUCCUGCAUGUAGUAUUUCUCUUCCCCCACCCCACCCACACCCCACAAAUGCUUCCAUCCGUAUAUGGAUGUGCACACCACUGCAGUAAUGGCCAUUAACAUAUGCAUAGCCCUUUUUGGAGACGUCAGUUGAGGGCUUCAUACAUUUCGUCGUCAAGUGAAACUGUACUCCUAGCUAGGGAUUCGCAUCCCUUCAGGGAACACCUUUCGUCACUCGUGAAGUCGUGGACCGAUGAAAUACUUGACGUCCUUCAGUGGACUUUAAGGACAACAGCCAGUAACUACUAUGCAAACCCAAUUCUAUUUUAGUGCGUUGUAUCAUGUAUUUGUAUAUAAUGCUGUCCAGGAGACGAACUCUACAUAUAUUAAGUUGAGGAGUUGAAUUUUUCAUUGUAAUAAAUGAUUACUUAAG